RNAcentral lists this ribosomal RNA (774 nucleotides) under uncultured Neocallimastigales. RNAcentral describes it as "partial large subunit ribosomal RNA". It matches the Rfam family "Eukaryotic large subunit ribosomal RNA", at positions 23 to 645 of the family's 3401-position model. The record is from RNAcentral. Lineage: Eukaryota; Fungi; Neocallimastigomycota; Neocallimastigomycetes; Neocallimastigales.
ACACGCAUGACACACUGCAUAUCAAUAAGCGGAGGAAAAGAAACUAACAAGGAUUCCCUUAGUAACGGCGAGUGAAGCGGGAAGAGCUCAAAUUUGAAAUCUUCAAGGUUCUACCUUGACGAAUUGUAGUUUAUAGAAGUGUUUUCUGUUAGUGGAGUGGCAAAAGUUCUUUGGAAUAGGACAUCAUAGAGGGUGAGAAUCCCGUAUUUGGUCAUUCCUCCUAGCGUUGUGAUACACUUUCAACGAGUCGGAUUGUUUGGGAAUGCAGUCCAAAAUGGGUGGUAAAUUUCAUCUAAAGCUAAAUAUUGGCGAGAGACCGAUAGCGAACAAGUACCGUGAGGGAAGAUGAAAAGAACUUUGAAAAGAGAGUUAAACAGUACGUGAAAUUGUCAAAAGGGAAGCGUUUGACACCAGUGUUGUUUUCCCGAAAAUCAAUUACGAAUGUUUUGUUUUUAAGAGAGUUAUGACUUCAUCGGCUUGCUCCUUUCUUUAUGAAACUUUCUUAAUGCACUUUUCGGUUAACAAGUCAACAUCAAUUUCUUUUGUUGUAAAAGGGUAUGAGGAAGGUGGCUUUCUUUUCGGAGAAAGUGUUUAUAGCCUUGUGCCUCUGCAAUCGGAGAGAUUGAGGUCUGCAGCGUAGAUCCUUCGGGGUUAGAUACAUUUGUGCUAAGUUAUAGCUUUUCAUAGACAACUUGUUGACUAUGUUUAGUCUUGUAGCUUACUCGCUUAUGCUAUUUUACCUACGCUUAGGAUGUUGACGAGACUGUCGAUCUC